Molecule: ribosomal RNA, 1623 nt
Filed under: Triticum aestivum (bread wheat)
Lineage: Eukaryota; Viridiplantae; Streptophyta; Magnoliopsida; Poales; Poaceae
Description: partial small subunit ribosomal RNA
Source: RNAcentral
AUGCACUCCGACACCGCUUCGCUUCCUAAAGAGUUUUAUAGGGGUGAUACAGAAGGAGUCAUGCAGAACAUCAAAAGGCUAAGUCAAGCAGGAAUUUCAAAUGCAGCAAGGGAGGAAGGACGUGUUCUUGGUACAGCUAGUGCACCCUAUUACAUGGUAGAGAAAGGCCUACUAAAAAAGCAGCUUCUGCGUACCUCUGGAGGCCUCGUGGUUGCUGGCUUUGCAGUCUAUGCAAUUGGUAAACUGGAGGAAGCGGAGGUUGGCAAGUUUGAAGGUUUGAAAGAAGUGCCUAGGGAUUCGAGCACGAAACUCAGUGACGUAAAGGGGGUCGAUGAAGCCAAAGCUGAGCUCGAGGACAUAGUUCACUACCUACGACAUCCAAAUCGUUUCAACCGCCUUGGUGGCAAGCUUCCGAAGGGUAUUUUGCUUGUGGGCCCACCUGGCACAGGGAAGACCAUGUUGGCAAGGGCUGUGGCUGGGGAAGCCGGCGUCCCUUUCUUCGCGUGCUGUGGCAGUGCUUUCGAGGAGACUUAUGUGGGUGUUGGCGCAAAGAGGGUAAGGGAGCUCUUCGCUGCGGCAAGGAAGCGAGCUCCUUGCAUAAUAUUCAUCGAUGAACUUGAUGCCGUUGGUGGGCGCAGAACUGCAGAAGAACCAUCAUCGUCAAAGCAGACUCUGAACCAGCUGCUUGUUGAGAUGGAUGGCUUCAAGCAGAAUGAAGGGAUCAUCGUGGUCGCAGCAACCAACCUCGUUGAGUCGCUAGAUGACGCCCUUGUCAGGCCUGGGCGUUUUGACCGUCAAGUUCAUGUUCCGCUUCCAGAUGUUGUGGGUCGGCGGCAGAUCCUCGAGGCGCACUUGUCAAAGGUGUUGAGAGCCAAGGGUUUGGAUGUGAUGACUAUCGCGAGGGGGACGCCUGGGUUCUCAGGCGCAGACCUCGCAAACCUAGUGAACGACGCGGCGCUCAAGGCUUCCAGGGAGGGGGCAAAUGCUGUUGGGAUGGAUCACCUCGAGUACGCCAAGGACAAGAUCAUCAUGGGCAGCGAGCGCAAGUCAGCGGUGAUGUCUGAUCGCUCGAGGAAGAUGACCGCGUACCACGAGGGAGGGCACGCCCUUGUUGCUAUCCUCACAGACGGCGCCGACCCCGUCCACAAGGCCACCAUUGUCCCAAGGGGAAACUCUCUUGGCAUGGUGACACAACUGCCGGGAGAAGACGGCGAGCUCGAAGUAUCGAGGAAGCAGAUGCUGGCGAGACUGGAUGUCCUCAUGGGCGGGCGGGUGGCCGAGGAGCUCCUAGUUGGAGAGACCGGGGUCACCACCGGCCCCUUCUCUGAUCUCAGCCAGGCGACUCAGCUGGCGAUGGACAUGGUCACCAAGUAUGGCAUGAGCAAGCGGGUCGGCCUUCUUUCCUACGACGAUGGUGGGCGCGCGGCGACCAUGAGCGGGUCAAUGGCGGCCCUGGUCGAUGAGGAGGUGAAGGCAUUAUUGGACAAGGCCUACAGUAACGCGAAAACGAUUCUCACGGCACACAGCAGGGAGCUCCAUGUCCUCGCCAGCGCCCUCCUGCAGCACGGAACUCUCUCCGGUGACCAGAUCAAGAAAAUAGUUUCGGCAGGUAGAUGGUUUUAA